AUCACCAGAGAGGUGAGACUUCAGGAAGGCUUUUCACUAGUGAGGUGUAGAAGGAAAGAGGAGAGACGAAGAAAGGGAAGGCAAAAUAUCCAACUAGUUUUGGAGAAAUCCUGCUAAGCUGAGAACAAGGAGGUCUGAUGUAGAAUCUGAGACACUGGGAGACAAGACCCACUGACAGGAAUUCCCCUCCUAUAGAUGGUCACACAUGGCUCAGCAGCUGUGUGACAAUUGAGCUGCACAAGUUGAAAAAACCAGUUAAUUUGGCUUGACUCCUGGAGCUGUUGAAGAACAGAAUAUAAUCUUUACCGCUGAUUCAAGAUUAAGACUGAAUGAAAAAGAAAAAAUGAUUAGCCAAAUUUAGCCUUGUAGGAAUCUCCCAACUGAAAAUACAGACAGCACAGCAUGGCAGAGUAGUUAACACAUUUGAACUCUACUCAACCACAACUGUUUCAGAACAUGUUACAAGGCCAGUGUUAUCAGAGAGCUUCCUUCAGCGUCCAGCUCAUGUUGAAAAUGAUUUCUUUUUUUGGCAGUAGGAGCAGCAGAAAAAGGUGGGAGGAGAUGAGUAAUUUUUUUACAAUACUUUCUAAUUUUCUAUAAAAUACUCCCCCCUCACAUUUGAAUAAAAGUGCUUUUUCUUAAUUUAUUUUUACAUUACACACUGUCUGACCAGUAGGAGUGCAAAAUACCUAAGAACAAUUCUGACGGCCUUGGUAAUGUUAUGUAUCUGUCAUAUUUC
Neopsephotus bourkii (Bourke's parrot) is the source of this 739-nucleotide long non-coding RNA. RefSeq lists it as uncharacterized. The record is from RefSeq and is a predicted model, not a curated record. The transcript is spliced from 3 exons. Lineage: Eukaryota; Metazoa; Chordata; Aves; Psittaciformes; Psittacidae.